RNAcentral lists this ribosomal RNA (543 nucleotides) under Eleutherodactylus sp. 2 SYM-2005. RNAcentral's name for it is "partial 16S ribosomal RNA". It matches the Rfam family "Bacterial large subunit ribosomal RNA", at positions 1853 to 2597 of the family's 2925-position model. The record is from RNAcentral. Lineage: Eukaryota; Metazoa; Chordata; Amphibia; Anura; Eleutherodactylidae.
GUCAGCCUGCCCAGUGACUCUUGUUUUAACGGGCCGCGGUAUCCUAACCGUGCAAAGGUAGCGUAAUCACUUGUUUUCUAAAUAAAGACCAGUAUGAAAGGCACCACGAGGGAUAAACUGUCUCCUUUUUUUAAUCAGUGAACCUAAUCUCCCCGUGAAGAAACGGGGAUUUUUAUAUAAGACGAGAAGACCCCAUGGAGCUUAAAACAUCAUAACACCUGCCACCCCAUUAUACCCGCCCCGGCACUUCAUUUUCCUGGCACCCUGAUUAUAUGUUUUUGGUUGGGGCGACCGCGGAGAAAAACUUAUCCUCCACGAUGAAGGGGAAUUUCCCUGAACAAUAAGCCACAACUUUAUGUACCAAUAAAUUGACAUCAAUUGACCCGGUAUACCGAUUAACGAACCAAGUUACCCUGGGGAUAACAGCGCAAUCCACUUUAAGAGCCCUUAUCGACAAGUGGGCUUACGACCUCGAUGUUGGAUCGGGGUACCCCGGUGGUGCAGCCGCUACUAAAGGUUCGUUUGUUCAACGAUUAAAACCCC